RNAcentral lists this ribosomal RNA (433 nucleotides) under uncultured bacterium. Its description in RNAcentral is "partial 16S ribosomal RNA". It matches the Rfam family "Bacterial small subunit ribosomal RNA", at positions 29 to 507 of the family's 1533-position model. The record is from RNAcentral.
AAUGAACGCUGGCGGCAUGCCUAACACAUGCAAGUCGAACGAAACCUCCGGGUCCUGUGGCGCAUGGGUGUGUAACGCGUCGGAACCUGCCCUUAUGUACGGCAUAACUCUCCGACAGGGGUGCUAAUACCGGACAAUGUCUUCGGACCAAUGAUUUAUCGCAUUUGUAUGGGCGCUCGUUGGAUUAGCUGGUUGGUAGGGUAAAAGCCUACCAAGGCGCCGAUCCAUAGCUGGUCUGAGAGGAAGGUCACCCACUCUGCGACUAAGACACGGCCCGGACUCUUACGGAAGGGGGCAGAGGGGGAUGUUGCACAGUGGGGGGAGGGCUGAACCAGCAAGGCCGCGUAAGUGAUGAAGGCCUGAGGGUAGAAAAGCUCUUUUACCCGUGAUGGUAAUGACGGUACCGGGAGAAUAAGCACCGGCUAACUACGUG